RNAcentral lists this ribosomal RNA (673 nucleotides) under uncultured Pseudomonadota bacterium. RNAcentral describes it as "bacterial SSU rRNA". It matches the Rfam family "Bacterial small subunit ribosomal RNA", at positions 51 to 713 of the family's 1533-position model. The record is from RNAcentral. Lineage: Bacteria; Pseudomonadati; Pseudomonadota.
ACACAUGCAAGUCGAACGGUAACAGGAAGCAGCUUGCUGCUUUGCUGACGAGUGGCGGACGGGUGAGUAAUGUCUGGGAAACUGCCUGAUGGAGGGGGAUAACUACUGGAAACGGUAGCUAAUACCGCAUAACGUCGCAAGACCAAAGAGGGGGACCUUCGGGCCUCUUGCCAUCGGAUGUGCCCAGAUGGGAUUAGCUAGUAAGUGGGGUAACGGCUCACCUAGGCGACGAUCCCUAGCUGGUCUGAGAGGAUGACCAGCCACACUGGAACUGAGACACGGUCCAGACUCCUACGGGAGGCAGCAGUGGGGAAUAUUGCACAAUGGGCGCAAGCCUGAUGCAGCCAUGCCGCGUGUAUGAAGAAGGCCUUCGGGUUGUAAAGUACUUUCAGCGGGGAGGAAGGGAGCAAAGUUAAUACCUUUGCUCAUUGACGUUACCCGCAGAAGAAGCACCGGCUAACUCCGUGCCAGCAGCCGCGGUAAUACGGAGGGUGCAAGCGUUAAUCGGAAUUACUGGGCGUAAAGCGCACGCAGGCGGUUUGUUAAGUCAGAUGUGAAAUCCCCGGGCUCAACCUGGGAACUGCAUCUGAUACUGGCAAGCUUGAGUCUCGUAGAGGGGGGUAGAAUUCCAGGUGUAGCGGUGAAAUGCGUAGAGAUCUGGAGGAAUACCGGU